CAGCUCCCCGCGUCUUCCAGGCGGAGGGCACGCGAGCCCCGGCGGGACGCGGCACAGGCCCCGCAGGAUCCGCGUCCGCGGCCUUCAGCCCUGCACGGCGGCCGCCCCCGGGCCUCGCGCCCCAGGUCACCGGCCCCCUCGGGAUCCCGCGCCCGCCCUGCGCCCGCCCACCAGCCCCGAGCCGCUGCGCCGCGGGGUGUGGGUGCGGGGGCUCCCGGGGCCACGACGGGGUGCGCGGGGGAGGGGUCGGGAGGUCCGGGGGCCACGACCAGGUGCGGGGGGAGGGGCCGGGGGUCCCGGGGGCCACGACGGGGUGCGGGGGGGGCGCCGGGAGGUCCGGGGGCCACGACCAGGUGCGGGGGGCGGGGCGGGUGGUCCUGGGACCACGACGGGGUGCGGGGGGGGGCGCCGGGAGGUCCGGGGGCCACGACCAGGUGCGGGGGGAAGGGUCGGGAGGUCCGGGGGCCACGACUAGGUGCGGGGGGGGUGGCGCCGGGAGGUCCCGAGCUCACGACCAGGUGCGGGGGGAGGGGCCGGGGGUCCCGGGGACCACGACGGGGUGCGGGGGGAGGGGUCGGGAGGUCCGGGGGCCACGACCAGGUGCGGGGGGCGGGGCGGGUGGUCCUGGGACCACGACCGGAUGAGGGGGGCGAGGGACCGGGGCUCCCGGGGCCACGACGGGGUGCGGGGGGGAGGGGCAGGGAGGUCCGGGGGCCCACGACCGGGUGCGGGGCGGGGGAGGGACGGGUGGUCCCGGGCCCACCGCCGGGUGCAGUCCCUCCGGGGCGCCGUGUGCGCGGAAGCCGGCCGGCCAGGGCGGCGGGGGGCGGCGGGGGGCGGCGGAGGAGACCCCCCCGCGGCCGCGCGGCGCCCCGGUGCCGCCCGCCCGCCCUCCUCCCCGGCAGCGGGGCGCCGGACCUCGCGGCCCCUUCGGGCGCUUCCGCCGCGCGCUCGGCUCCCUUCGCGCCCGGGGCGGGGCGGGGCGGGGCGGGGCGGCGCCUCCAGUGCGCGCGCGCGGCCGGGACCCGCGAGGCCCGCCCCCGGCCCCCCGCCCGCCCCUCCCCCCCGGCCCGCCCCUCCCCCACCGCGGCGAGUGUCGGCGGCGGCGGCUGCCGAGAUUGGAAUCCGCCCGCUGGCGCUCGGCGAGGGCGGAGGGCGGAGGGCGGAGGGCGCAGGGAGGAGGCGGGCAGGGGGGCUGGGACUCCGGCGCGUCCGUCCGCGCGAGACGACGACCGCAGGGCCGCGCGAGGGGCGACCGGGCCGGGGCCGCUGCACGCCGAGGGCGGAGGCCGACCGGGCCCCGCCGCGCCCCCCGCUCCGCGCCGAGGGCCGGACGAUGAGUUCCCCGGGGGCCGGGUGAGUUGGCGGGUCGGAGGGGGGCGGCGGGGGGGCGGGGGCGCGGGGGCGCAGGGGGGCGGCGGGGGCGCAGGGGGGCGGCGGGGGCGCAGGGGGCCGGCGGGGCGGGCGGCCCGGCGGGGUCCCCGGCGCCCGGGGCAGUGUCAGGCCGCGUCCCCCGGCCCCGGCGCCCCCCGGCCCCUGUGCUCCCGCCCCGGGUCGGGCCGGCGUGGGGAGGCGGCGUGCGCGGAGGCCGCCCGCAGGGACGCGUCUCGGGUCCUUAAAUGGAAAGGCGCUCACCUCUGGCCCGGAGCGCGCGGGCCGUGGUGCGGCUGCGGAGGCGCGGGGGGGCCCGGGGGGGCACAGGGUCUCCGGGUUCCCGAGCCUCACCUGUCGCCCCGCGCGGCCUCCCUGCCCGGGCCUGUGGCUCCGCGCCGCGGCCCCGGGAACCUGAGCGGGGCGCCCCUCCCUCCGCUCCCCUCCCCUCCCCUCCCCGGCCGGCCCCGCGCGCCCCUGCAGGCCCGGGGAGCACCCGGCGGGGUCCUGGCGCCGCGCCCCCGCCCGCCCCAAGCGCCGCAGCUCUGCUGGCCCCGGCGGCCUCCAGCCCCUGGGUGCACGGGGCGACCUGGGACGUCCACCUGCGUGACGUCACCCAGCCCCCCCGCCCCCGGCCGCCGGGUUCCCCCCUCCGCGCGAGCCGGGUGGGCAGCAGGGCCUCCCUGCAGUCGGGAGCCGCCGGGGGCCGCCGGGCCAGGAGCCCCCAGCACCCGCCGAGCCUCCCCGUGCGGAGCCCCACGUCCGGGGCAGCCCCUCCUCCUGGAAAUGCUCGCUGUUUGGUGGCUCGAGUUGCAGAGCGGCUUCUGCACCGUAUUUACUUAG
Molecule: long non-coding RNA, 2214 nt
Filed under: Canis lupus familiaris (dog)
Lineage: Eukaryota; Metazoa; Chordata; Mammalia; Carnivora; Canidae
Description: lncRNA (ENSCAFG00030000733.1)
Source: RNAcentral